AUAGGGAAGUUUGUUGCUGCCUGGAUGGUGGGUUGGGGAUGUUCUGUAGUGCAGAAGACAGAGAAGGGCCUCUCUGUGAACAACCCCUGAGUGAAAUAAGCCAUAACUGGAGGUUCCUCUGCUCUGGUACCGGAAGACUACACCUGAAUCCACAACAAGGCAGAGGAAAUGGAGGAGAAGGGCAAGGCCUGCCAGCGCCAUGUUUGCCACCUUGGGAUGGGUAGCUUCCCUUCACAGCCCAUCCCAGCUGCUGACAACUUCUUUCUGCAAGAUAUCAGCAACAGCUUUCCUCUGUGAAGUACUGAAGCACACAGAAGCAGAUUAAAGUCUGACCUAAUGUUGGGCACUGAGUGUUUUCUACACAGAGUCAGGGUGUGUAUUUUAGGAGCGUGGGAAGCACAUUUCUCCACAUGCUCACAUUCAUCUUCAGGACACAAUGUAGGUGUGGGAGCCUCGUGGUUUCUUGUGGAUGGAGCCACUACUAGUUACUCAUGGACUAGGUUGCCAGUGCUGAUUCAUGCUGGUGUUUUGCUAGUGGACUCAGCUGCUGACAGUGGAGAUUGGAAUUGCCUCAAAGAACUACUUUUAACCAGGUUCACAACCCAAUUGUCAUAUUAGCCAUCUUCCCCCCUACCUUUGUUCAGUGGGCUAUAAGGAAGGGUGAAUCGUUUAGAGACCUUUAUUAAAAUAGGCUUUGAAAAAUCUAAGCCUACAAGUUCCCUUCAAUAUCCAGUGUAUUUUCAUAGCUGUGUUAUCUGUGUCAUUGACAUUUAAAAAUUUAAAGUCAAUAAAGUAUUAUUCAAUCUA
Grammomys surdaster is the source of this 807-nucleotide long non-coding RNA. RefSeq lists it as uncharacterized. Lineage: Eukaryota; Metazoa; Chordata; Mammalia; Rodentia; Muridae. The record is from RefSeq and is a predicted model, not a curated record. The transcript has 2 exons.